RNAcentral lists this long non-coding RNA (295 nucleotides) under Elaeis guineensis (African oil palm). Its description in RNAcentral is "long non-coding RNA (EGUI_LNC062838)". The record is from RNAcentral. Lineage: Eukaryota; Viridiplantae; Streptophyta; Magnoliopsida; Arecales; Arecaceae.
GGGUAUCCACUCAAGAUCAGCCUGGAACAGCCCUCUUUAAGUUGAAUUUUUUUCUCUAAGAAAAUUUAGCCUAUUGAAUCUGAACAAAAUCUAGAUCGUGAUCAACACUUGAUCUCUUUUCUUGAUCUUCUUCUUCUCUUCUUCUCUUUUCUUUCUCCCUUGAAUUAUAUUGCUACUAGUAGGUGGAAACCAGCAUAAGGUUGAUGCCUAAGUGCCCUUGGCAUGGAGGAGAAGUGGGACACCCCAAGUGGAGGGAUGUGUGGACGUCCAAAGGGAAAGGAGAAGGGAGAGGAAG